RNAcentral lists this ribosomal RNA (1560 nucleotides) under Escherichia coli M7. RNAcentral describes it as "bacterial LSU rRNA". It matches the Rfam family "Bacterial large subunit ribosomal RNA", at positions 1267 to 2812 of the family's 2925-position model. The record is from RNAcentral. RNAcentral also lists the same sequence under 2 other names. Lineage: Bacteria; Pseudomonadati; Pseudomonadota; Gammaproteobacteria; Enterobacterales; Enterobacteriaceae.
GGCAUGCUGGAGGUAUCAGAAGUGCGAAUGCUGACAUAAGUAACGAUAAAGCGGGUGAAAAGCCCGCUCGCCGGAAGACCAAGGGUUCCUGUCCAACGUUAAUCGGGGCAGGGUGAGUCGACCCCUAAGGCGAGGCCGAAAGGCGUAGUCGAUGGGAAACAGGUUAAUAUUCCUGUACUUGGUGUUACUGCGAAGGGGGGACGGAGAAGGCUAUGUUGGCCGGGCGACGGUUGUCCCGGUUUAAGCGUGUAGGCUGGUUUUCCAGGCAAAUCCGGAAAAUCAAGGCUGAGGCGUGAUGACGAGGCACUACGGUGCUGAAGCAACAAAUGCCCUGCUUCCAGGAAAAGCCUCUAAGCAUCAGGUAACAUCAAAUCGUACCCCAAACCGACACAGGUGGUCAGGUAGAGAAUACCAAGGCGCUUGAGAGAACUCGGGUGAAGGAACUAGGCAAAAUGGUGCCGUAACUUCGGGAGAAGGCACGCUGAUAUGUAGGUGAAGUCCCUCGCGGAUGGAGCUGAAAUCAGUCGAAGAUACCAGCUGGCUGCAACUGUUUAUUAAAAACACAGCACUGUGCAAACACGAAAGUGGACGUAUACGGUGUGACGCCUGCCCGGUGCCGGAAGGUUAAUUGAUGGGGUCAGCGCAAGCGAAGCUCUUGAUCGAAGCCCCGGUAAACGGCGGCCGUAACUAUAACGGUCCUAAGGUAGCGAAAUUCCUUGUCGGGUAAGUUCCGACCUGCACGAAUGGCGUAAUGAUGGCCAGGCUGUCUCCACCCGAGACUCAGUGAAAUUGAACUCGCUGUGAAGAUGCAGUGUACCCGCGGCAAGACGGAAAGACCCCGUGAACCUUUACUAUAGCUUGACACUGAACAUUGAGCCUUGAUGUGUAGGAUAGGUGGGAGGCUUUGAAGUGUGGACGCCAGUCUGCAUGGAGCCGACCUUGAAAUACCACCCUUUAAUGUUUGAUGUUCUAACGUGGACCCGUGAUCCGGGUUGCGGACAGUGUCUGGUGGGUAGUUUGACUGGGGCGGUCUCCUCCUAAAGAGUAACGGAGGAGCACGAAGGUUGGCUAAUCCUGGUCGGACAUCAGGAGGUUAGUGCAAUGGCAUAAGCCAGCUUGACUGCGAGCGUGACGGCGCGAGCAGGUGCGAAAGCAGGUCAUAGUGAUCCGGUGGUUCUGAAUGGAAGGGCCAUCGCUCAACGGAUAAAAGGUACUCCGGGGAUAACAGGCUGAUACCGCCCAAGAGUUCAUAUCGACGGCGGUGUUUGGCACCUCGAUGUCGGCUCAUCACAUCCUGGGGCUGAAGUAGGUCCCAAGGGUAUGGCUGUUCGCCAUUUAAAGUGGUACGCGAGCUGGGUUUAGAACGUCGUGAGACAGUUCGGUCCCUAUCUGCCGUGGGCGCUGGAGAACUGAGGGGGGCUGCUCCUAGUACGAGAGGACCGGAGUGGACGCAUCACUGGUGUUCGGGUUGUCAUGCCAAUGGCACUGCCCGGUAGCUAAAUGCGGAAGAGAUAAGUGCUGAAAGCAUCUAAGCACGAAACUUGCCCCGAGAUGAGUUCU